UAUGAGGCUGAGAGGAGAGGCUGCUCAGACACAGAGAGCCCAGUUGAAAUCUACCCACACUUGCUAUUAAAUCACAAGGCGUCCACACAAAGAACAAAAUCCAACCAAGAGCUACGGGGGCUGUGCUGAUGCCGACACAUCAAGUCUAUGAUUUGGAGGAGAAAGGAGCUCUGCCCAAAUUUCAGCUGUCACAGAAUGAGUGAUCCUCAUAGUAUAAUGGAAAUGCAUCAUCUCAGUUUCCCCAUGGCCUGAAUGUCCAUACAAAAUGAGAGCCAGUAGAGAAAAACAGAGGACGUGAGGAGUUUUUAAAAAUUGAGUAAAAGUGGAAGGAAAAGUAAGGAUGAAGGUGAAGAUGAAGGAAUAUGUCAGAGAUGCUAGCACUGGCAUCCCCCACCACACAGUACCAUGUCCUGCAAAAGAACUCUAUAGAACAUACAGGGUGUAGACGGCAGUCUUCUUGGGGAAUCCAUCUGAGAAAAAGAGGCUUCAGGAUUGCAAGAUUUCAGCUACUGUCUCUCCUCGGAGCAGGAUUCCAUCUUUUCCAUGGCUGGGGCCCUUGACACAUGUCACUGUGCACUGCUCUUCUUGCUGGG
Molecule: long non-coding RNA, 593 nt
Organism: Gorilla gorilla gorilla (western lowland gorilla)
Lineage: Eukaryota; Metazoa; Chordata; Mammalia; Primates; Hominidae
Exons: 4
Source: RefSeq, a predicted model, not a curated record